Non-coding RNA from Podarcis lilfordi (Lilford's wall lizard), 7313 nucleotides. Lineage: Eukaryota; Metazoa; Chordata; Lepidosauria; Squamata; Lacertidae. The record is from the annotation of a GenBank genome assembly.
UGGGACUGCGGGGAACAGCAUGUCACCAUGCGAACGGACCUUCAGGGUAUAAGAACAUCACUUAUCUGCGCCUGGAAUGGUGUGGAGAAGGUGCUGGCUGAUGGGAGAUAGGGGCAGGCGUGUCUGAAAGAAGAGCUUUUCCUCGCUAAGUGUUGUGGCAGCAGCUCCCUCCUUUCGGUAAGUUGUUUUGAGAUUUAGCUCUAAUGGACACCUGUCAGAACAAGGGUGGCGGUUUUGGGAAAUCGAAAUAUAAGCGCAAGGAAUGUGUUUACGUGCAUGUCCUGCCAAAUCUAAAGGGUUCGUGGUAGUACUGGCUUUACAUAAAUACAUGGGUGCGUCCCUAAUCUCGAGGUAGCCGUGAGCCGCCAUUGUCUAUGCUGGCUAGGACUGAUGGGAGCUGGGAGCCCCCACAGCAGCUGAAAGGCCACAGCUUCCCCAUCCCUGUUCUAGAGGAAGAGGCAGUGACAAUGGCUCUUGCAGGCAUUUGCUUAGAGGAAAGAUCUUUCUAUUCUGUCCUGUUGCUUUGCUCUUACAAGUCUGCCUUCAGUUGCAGGGAGAAGUGAGGCCUCAGUUUUAGACACCAUGUACUCUGGAAGCAGGACACGGGUGGCGCUGUGGGUUAAACCACAGAGCCUAGGACUUGCCGAUCAGAAGGUCGGCGGUUCAAAUCCCCGCGACGGGGUGAGCUCCCAUUGUUCAGUCCCUGCUCCUGCCAACCUAGCAGUUCGAAGGCACGUCAAAGUGCAAGUAGAUAAAUAGAUACCGCUCUGGCGGGAAGGUAAACGGUGUUUCCGUGCGCUGCUCUGGUUUGCCAGAAGCGGCUUAGUCAUGCUGGCCACAUGACCCGGAAGCUGUACGCCGGCUUCCUCGGCCAAUAAAGCAACAUGAGCGCCACAACCCCAGAGUCGGUCACGACUGAACCUAAUGGUCAGGGGUCCCUUUACCUUUACCUUUUACUCUGGAAGCAGAGUACAGAGUACAGAGCCAUCAAAGUCUCAGACCCUGAUAAUGAAAAGGAUGGAUCCAGAACCCCUAGCAAUUCUCUCUCAGGGAAAGGGGAAUAGUUCAAGCCAGUAUUUCUCACUUGGGCUGUGACCUUCAAGUGUGUCACAGGCUAUAUAAGUAAACUCAAAAUAGUUACUGCUUGGAAGCCUUAGCUGGUAUGAUGAAUCUCUUGCGCGACUUUUUGUUUUGUUUGCAUACGUAUGACAAAACUGCUUUCAUGCUUGUAACCAAACUGCAGAUAGGCUUGAGUCUUGCAUAUUAACUCCUGUCUGGCAGCUGGACUAUAAUUUGGUCUUUUUUAUUUUAGUUUUUUAUUUUAACUGGAGUAUUAUGAUUGGAUAUAUUAAUUGAAUGUUUUUUUAUUGGAAAAUCAAUAAAAAUCAAUAAAAUCAAUAAAAACCACAGAGUGGGCCAGCAAAAGGUGCUCAGAGAGGGACCCACCCUGAGUGACCACCACCACAGCUUGCCUUUGGUACCUGCUGCGGCAGUCAUUCAAAAUGACUCCCUGCACCACCAGCAAAUCACCACUGGAUUUUCUGCCAGGGUUAGUCAGUAGUUAAGCAAAGGCGGUUUGAAGUUCUUCAGAUCUAACACUGCUUGUGUAACUGUAAUGUUUUUAGAAUACAUUUUUUUAUAGCUUAUGAAGCAAUAACCCACAACCAGGUGGUUGGUGUUCUUGCAUACCCAUAAACAAAACUGUGAAUAACUUUGUAAGCAUUAUAAAUAGUUCAACGAAUUCCACAUUAAUAGGGGCAUUAAGUUCAUAUUUUGCUAGGAUGUCUCCAGUAAUGGUUAUAAAAGAGGCAUCUAAAAUGCAUGAAACUGACAGCUGCCACAGACCAGUGAUCCAAAAUCCGUAUGAACAUAAGAAGAGCCCGCUGGAUCAGGCCAAUGCCCCAUCUAGUCCAGCAGCCUAUACUCAUAGUGGUCAAAUAGAUGUCUGUGGGGAAACCCGCAAGCAGGAUUCGAGCACAAGAAGACUCUCCCCCUCCUGCAGUUUCCAGCAACUGGUAUUCAGAAGCAUUACUGUCUCUGACCGACGAGGUAGAAUAUAACCACUGAUAGCUUUAUCCUGUGAAUCUGGCUAAUCCUCUUUUAAAGUCAGUCAGCUUGGUGGUCAUCACUGCCUCCUGUGGGAGCAAGUUCUGUUGUUUAACUACGUACUGCCUGAAGAAACACAUUUUUUUAAUCUUCCUCUGAAUAUUCUAACGUUCAGCUUCAAUGAAUCAAUGGGUCAUCAUCCCAAGUAAAUUUGGUCUUGUGGACCACCAUACUAAAAAGGCUGGGAAUCACUGCUUUGAACUUUAGAACAGUGAAGGCAGCUGGGGCUUGUAGCUGCCUCCUUGCUUCUCCUGCCUUAACAGGAGAUUCAGAGAAGACUGCUUUCCAAGUCAGACCCUGCUAACUCUGCCUAGUGUCUCCACUUGGUUCGUUUGCUCCUGAUGGAUGCUAUUUUUACUCUGUCAAGUUAAGACUCGGAAGCCAUCUUAGAUGCUCAUGGAACCACCUAAGUCAGGCAUGUCCAAAGUCCGUUACAGGGGCCUAAUCGGGCCCGCCAGUCAGCUUAAUCCGACCCCUGUGGCAGUUUAUUUCCUGAGGUAAAAUCCUAAAAAAACCCUUCAACCCUAAAAAAAGUUAAACAACUUCAAUUCUAAAAAAAAAAAGCUAAACAACUUUGGUCAGCCCUCACGGCCCUUCCCUUCAUCAAAUCUGGCCCUCUUUGAAAAAAGUUUGGAUACCACUGACCUAAGUUAUGUGUGGGCACAGCAGAAGGAACAGGGAAUUCAUAAACAUUUCUGAAAGUUAUCUGAAAAGGGCUUGGUAUUAUUUUUGUAUUUUUCUCUAAGGGGAUUCAGGGUUUUUUGGGUGUUGCUCAGGAAAACACAAGCAAGCCAUGGCUGCAACAGUUAAUUUGCUUUAUGGAAAUGCUAUUGCCUCAAGAUGUAUUUUCCACAGGACUCUCCACUUUUCCUCCUCUUUGCCAUAAGGAGGCUUGAAAGGCCUCUAUUACUUAGCAACCAAAGCAAUUAAAGCAACGUAGUUUCCCUCAGGUUCAGGUGGGUGAGGGAAGAUUGCUAGAGAUGUGUGCCGUUUUUUAUUAUGAUGCUAUUUUAUAAGGUCCUGUUGACAUGCAGAUGAAUGGUCAGGAAUCUGGGUAGGUCUUUCCCACCUUUUCGGAAUGGAUAAUGGUGACUGCAUUUUUGGAUCUAUUGCUCAGCAACAUCAAGUACUUUGAACCAGAUAAGCUGCACAUUUUGAAAACAACCCUUUCCACGCUUCAGAACAUCCCAAGAACACUUAAGGUUCAAAGAAAAAGAUCAACUUGCGGUAUUUGCUACAAGGCUAUGCUGACAGCCAAUAGCUCAGAUGAGGUCCAAAUGGAUUUGAUAUAAGCAACGGCAGCUAAAUACGGAACAUCUCUUUUUAGAGGUGGAGCACCUCUGAUUUCCACUUGCUUGGGGGCAACCAUUCAAACCUUAACCUAAAUUCAGUAAGGCAAGCAGUCACCAACCUUUUGGGGCCAUUGGGCACAUUUGGAGUUUUGAGAAAAUGCUGUAGGUGCCAGUCAUGAAAUGGUGGCCACUUCUAAAUAAGCAGAAAGAGAGACCAAACCUCUAGACUGGUGACUGGGAGCGGCCACCGAGACCACAUAACACCAGUCUUGAAAGACCUACACUGGCUCCCAGUACGUUUCCAAGCACAAUUCAAAGUGUUGGUUUUAAAGCCCUAAAUGGCCUCAGUCCAGUAUACCUGAAGGAGCGUCUCCACCCCCAUCGUUCUACCCGGACACUGAGGUCCAGUGCCAAGGGCCUUCUGGCAGUUCCCUCGCUGCAAGAAGCCAAGUUACAGGGAACCAGGCAGAGGGCCUUCUCGGUAGUGGCGCCCGCCCUGUGGAACCCCCUCCCACCAGAUGUCAAAAAGAAAAACAACUACCAGACUUUUAGAAGACAUCUGAAGGCAGCCCUGUUUAGGGAAGCUUUUAAUGUUUAAUAGAGGGACGCAGGUGGCGCUGUGGGUUAAACUACAGAGCCUAGGACUUGCCGAUCAGAAGGUCCGCGGUUCGAAUCCCCAUGAUGGGGUGAGCUCCCGUUGCUCGGUCCCUGCUCCUGCCAACCUAGCAGUUCGAAAGCACGUCCAAGUGCAAGUAGAUAAAUAGGUACCGCUCCAGCGGGAAGGUAAACGGCAUUUCCGUGCACUGCUCUGGUUUGCCAGAAACUGCUUAGUCAUGUUGGUCACAUGACCUGGAAGCUGUACGCCGGCUCCCUCGGCCAAUAAAGCGAGAUGAGCGCCGCAACCCCAGAGUCGGUCACGACUGGACCUAAUGGUCAGGGGUCCCUUUACCUUUACCUAGACUAUUGUAUUUUAAUAUUCUGUUGGAAGCCUGCCAGAGUGGCUGGAGAAACCCAGCCAGAUAGGCAGGGUAUAAAUAAUUUAUUAUUAUUAUUAUUAUUAUUAUUAUUAUUAUUAGUGAAGGAAGAGGCAUCUCGCUUGUGCUCUGUGCUUGCUUGCACAGAGACUUUUUUUGCACUUUCCCACUGUUUAGAAACAGAAGGGAAGGUGGGUGUUCAGUCCUGGCAUCCAGUCAAAUAUGGACAUGUUUAAUGGGCUAUGUUUAAUGUAGGAGAGGCCAAGCCAGGUCAAACAGCAGCUGAGCAGGAAGAGCAAGCAACCUCUUGUGCACUGUGAAUUUUUGAAGGGGUGCUUACUGAGACGAUAGAAAGUACUGGUGGGCACAAUGGCAAAGGACUGGUGGAGUGAGACAGAUCUUUCAGAAGCAAGCGGAACCUCAAGAUUUUGUGGGAGUUCCCCACUUUCAUCCAAAAUAAAAAUUUUAAAAACCCUGAUGCAUGUUCUCCUUGGCCAGAACAUCAAGGUGUGGCCUGAAUUCCACCUUGGCGUUUAGCGCUGAACAACAGCAACGCUUAAGUUCAGUAAGUGAAUAAGCCCCCCCUUUUUUAUUUCCAAACAUAUUCAGCUGAAGAUACACUAUCCAGGACACAUGUCCCAUUUACAUCCUAAAAAGAAACCCCAGGAAGCAUUUAAUGCUCAGUCCUUUGGCAAAAACCCUCUGAGAGAAUGCAGGGACAAUUAAAACUGAAUGCUUGAUGGCUUUCAUCAUGCUUUCAUUUUUUCCGGAUAGCAUUAAAAUAUGUCACUGUUAAUUGUAGCAGGCUAUAUUUCCCCCCUGACAGUGCCUUUCACUUAGCAUUUGAUGAAAGGAUUUUUAAAAAAUCAUAUAUUUUUGCUAUGGAGUGGUGUGUGUGUGUGCGCGCGUGCGCUUUCCUCAGGACAAUGAUGAUGCUUUACAUUUCCAUGUGCUGUACUUGAUUAAAUUGCUGCACGCAAUAACCACGCCAUACUCUCAGCCCCCUGAGAGUUUAUUCUCUCUAGUCAGCCAUGCACACCAUUCACCAUAUAGUAAAGUUUCUGUAAGUAAGAAGAAGAAGAAGAGUUUGGAUUUGAUAUCCCGCUUUAUCACUACCCGAAGGAGUCUCAAAGCGGUUAACAUUCUCCUUUCCCUUCCUCCCCCACAACAAACACUCUGUGAGGUGAGUGGGGCUGAGAGACUUCAGAGAAGCCUGACUGGCCCAAGGUCACCCAGCAGCUGCAUGUGGAGGAGCGGGGAAGCGAACCUGGUUCCCCAGAUUACGAGUCCACUGCUCUUAACCACUACACCACACUGGCUACCUUUAACAAAGCUCAUUCAUAGCAGGAAAGCACGCCUUGAUUUAAGAAUGCUUUGGUUUAAGAACGGACCUCCGGAACGGAUUAAGUUCGUAAACCAAAGUACCACUGUAAUUUGUUUUAACUGUAAGAACACGACUACCUUUAACGAAGCUCAUUCAUAGCAGGAAAGCUUCCAUCCAUGAACCGUUUUGUAGUAAAAGGCUCAUAUCCCCAUCUCCUUCUUUUUAAUGCCUGAAAUAAACAGUCAAAGGUAACCCUAGAAGUACCAUAUUCUUGCUCCUUUCUUGCUACUAUGCUGCUAGGAGCUGUACAUAAUAUACACCAGACCAAGGGCUAAAAUACAUGUGACAUGAAAUGUGUAAAUGCAUUUAUGUGCCUGUUUUUCCUGUAAUAAUAGCAAUCACGGGAACAAGGGGUGAGCAGGAUCAGGACCACAGCACAAGGGAAGGGGAUAUUUAACCCUUUUGUCUUGCUGACAAUUGCCCUAAGCUGUUGUUGUUGUGUUUAUUACCUGCCCUUCACCAGCAGGUCCCAGGAUAGGUUGCAACAAUUUUAUAAUUCCGAAUUUGUUGUUGUUUAGUCGUUUAGUCGUGUCCGACUCUUCGUGACCCCAUGGACCAGAGCACGCCAGGCCCUCCUGUCUUCCACUGCCUCCCGCCGUUUGGUCAAACUCAUGCUGGUAGCUUCGAGAACACUGCCCAACCAUCUCGUCCUCUGUCGUCCCCUUCUCCUUGUGCCCUCCAUCUUUCCCAACAUCAGGGUCUUUCCCAGGGAGUCUUCUCUUCUCAUGAGGUGGCCAAAGUACUGGAGCCUCAGCUUCAGGAUCUGUCCUUCCAGUGAGCACUUCCAGUGAGCAUUCCAAAUUUUAAAAAGUUAAAACAAAUUACAGUGGUACUUUGGUUUAUGAACUUAAUCCGUUCCGGAGGUCCGUUCUUAAACCAAAGCAUUCUUAAACCAAGGCGUGCUUUCCCAUAGCGGGGGAACUCAAUUUACAAACGGAACACACUCAACAGGAAGCGGAACAUGUUCUGCUUCCCAGGCAAAGUUCACAAACCAAAACACCUACUUCCGGGUUUGCAGUGUUCUUAACCCAAGUUGUUCAUAAACUAAGCUGUUCUUAAACCAAGGUACCACUGUACAGUCACAGGAACAGGGUGUGUCCUGAAAACAAACAUCUCAAGUAUCAAAGGCUAGGGUAAAGAGGUGUGUCUUUAUCAUUCAGAGAAAGUAGUGUAGCGAAGGUGCCAGGCACACCUCUAUGAGGAAGAAAUUCCAGAAUGUAGGGGCUGCCACAAAGAAUGCCCAUUUCCAUGCCAUUAGACACACACUGAACUUCGGGGAGGGGUGUAGAACUACCCCCCCUUUAACACCUGAGAGAGUCUGUAGGGAACAAGGCAGUCUCUCAGAUAUUUGAGGUAUUAAGUUGUUUAGGGCAUUAAACACCAGCAGCCCGAGCACUGUCAAUUGGGCCUAGAAACAAAUACAGGAGAAGGCAUAUAAAAUCUUCAUUUAGCCAACGCUUUCCCCCUUUCUUUCUCUCACACAGGAAAGACUGACUUUUCAAGAUGGUACGUUCUGCUACAUAUACAAGCUACAAGCAAAAUUCCCCUCCGUGCAUG